RNAcentral lists this long non-coding RNA (317 nucleotides) under Brassica rapa (field mustard). Its description in RNAcentral is "long non-coding RNA (BRAP_LNC007872)". The record is from RNAcentral. Lineage: Eukaryota; Viridiplantae; Streptophyta; Magnoliopsida; Brassicales; Brassicaceae.
AAUAAAUUAACAAUAUUUACAUUUAAUAUAAUUAUAAAAAUAUCAAAAAUCAUAAAAUUAUAACUUUCUAAAUAUAAAUUUUAUAUUUACAUAUAUUUACAUUUUAUAAAUUAACAAUAUUUACAUGUAUUUAGAAAGUUGUAAUUUUAAUUUUUGAAAAAUUAUUGAAAUUGUUUUUAUUAUAAAAUUUUAUAAUAUUAAUUUAAUAUUUUCAUAAUUUCAAUUUAAAUUUUUUAUUAAAUAUUUUUACUUUUGUAUAUAUAUUGUUUUAAAAAAAAGAAAAAAAUUUUACCCUCCCGUAGCCGCACGCAACCGCA